GAUGAACGCUGGCGGCGUGCUUAACACAUGCAAGUCGAGCGGAGAUAAGAGGGAGCUUGCUCCCAAUUAUCUUAGCGGCGGACGGGUGAGUAACGUGUGGGUAACCUGCCUUAUACUGUGGAAUAAUCAUGAGAAAUCGUGACUAAUACCGCAUGUGGUCUUCGGAAGGCAUCUUCUGAAGAAGAAAGGAUUUAUAUUCGGUAUAAGAUGGACCCGCAUCUGAUUAGCUAGUUGGUGAGAUAAUAGCCCACCAAGGCGACGAUCAGUAGCCGACCUGAGAGGGUGAUCGGCCACAUUGGGACUGAGACACGGCCCAAACUCCUACGGGAGGCAGCAGUGGGGAAUAUUGCACAAUGGGCGAAAGCCUGAUGCAGCAACGCCGCGUGAAGGAAGAAGGGUUUCGGCUCGUAAACUUCUAUCGAUAGGGAAGAAAGAAAUGACGGUACCUAAAUAAGAAGCCCCGGCUAACUACGUGCCAGCAGCCGCGGUAAUACGUAGGGGGCAAGCGUUAUCCGGAAUUACUGGGUGUAAAGGGAGAGUAGGCGGCAUGAUAAGUUAGAUGUGAAAGCCCGGGGCUUAACCUCGGGAUUGCAUUUAAAACUAUUGAGCUAGAGUACAGGAGAGGAAAGCGGAAUUCCUAGUGUAGCGGUGAAAUGCGUAGAUAUUAGGAAGAACACCAGUGGCGAAGGCGGCUUUCUGGACUGAAACUGACGCUGAGGCUCGAAAGCGUGGGGAGCGAACAGGAUUAGAUACCCUGGUAGUCCACGCCGUAAACGAUGAGUGCUAGGUGUCGGAGGGGAACCUUCGGUGCCGCAGCAAACGCAAUAAGCACUCCACCUGGGGAGUACGAUCGCAAGAUUGA
RNAcentral lists this ribosomal RNA (862 nucleotides) under uncultured bacterium. RNAcentral's name for it is "bacterial SSU rRNA". It matches the Rfam family "Bacterial small subunit ribosomal RNA", at positions 28 to 897 of the family's 1533-position model. The record is from RNAcentral.